Molecule: small RNA, 113 nt
Filed under: Enterococcus faecium VRE1044
Lineage: Bacteria; Bacillati; Bacillota; Bacilli; Lactobacillales; Enterococcaceae
Also listed under: 1 other name
Description: Hfq binding sRNA
Source: RNAcentral
AACCACCUGCUAUGCAGGUGGUUCCGGAAAGCUUCCAGCGAGGUAUAAAAAAAGCCUCCUAAACUGAUAAGAUGAAGUAGGUUUCCCGACCACCACAUCAAAAAGUUUAGGAG